Molecule: long non-coding RNA, 627 nt
Organism: Cataglyphis hispanica
Lineage: Eukaryota; Metazoa; Arthropoda; Insecta; Hymenoptera; Formicidae
Exons: 5
Source: RefSeq, a predicted model, not a curated record
GGAUACAUCAAGAACGAUUAAAAGAAUUGGCUGAACAAAUAUCACAGUAUAUUCCAGAAGAGGAAACAUAUUAUGUUCCCUACAAAAAAUUGCUUAACAAAAAAUCUAAUGCCAAAGAUAAACUGUAUGAUAAACACGUAAACUUUUUACGAAGUUUGCGAAAUAAUGGAUUGGCUCCUCUCUCCAGAAAUACAAUUGAGACUCAGACUGCACCAAUUGUAAGUGAAAAUAUUAAAGGCCAAUUAGAAUGGCUACGCACUCAUAAGGAACCAUUUGAGGAUGUAAAGGCGAGAUGGGAAGCAACUCAUGAAGCUAGACUUUAUAUACUACAAAAAAUACACAAAGUACACAAUCUAUUUCUGAUUAUAUAAACGACUUUAGUGUUUUGCAACUGAGUACUGGUUAUAUAUUGCUGUUAUCAGAUUUUAACAAAUUAUACUCAAAUUAUGAUUUGCACAUGUGGAGUAAAUGGCCUUCUUUCUCACAAAAAAUAUGUACACUUCUGAAAUUAAAAGAUGAAAGUGAUUUUGUUAUUUUUAUGAGUUUGGGAAAUCUUUUCACUCCUACUCCAGUACAACUAGAAAAUAAUAAAAGGUGGAAGCCAAACGCUCAAGAAAUACUUGAUAG